RNAcentral lists this ribosomal RNA (468 nucleotides) under uncultured bacterium. RNAcentral's name for it is "partial 16S ribosomal RNA". It matches the Rfam family "Bacterial small subunit ribosomal RNA", at positions 28 to 507 of the family's 1533-position model. The record is from RNAcentral.
GACGAACGCUGGCGGCGUGCUUAACACAUGCAAGUCGAACGGAAAGGCGCUGCUUUUGUUGGUUGCUCGAUUGGCGCACGGGUGAGUAUCACGUGAGUAUCCUGCCCUUGACAUUCGGAUAUCUUCAGGAAACUGGGGCUCAUACCGGAUAGGAGCUCCUGCUGCAUGGUGGGGGUUGGAAAGAUUCGGCGGUUGUGGAUCGACUCGCGGCUUAUCAGCUUGUUGGUGGGGUAGUGGCUUACCAAGGCUUUGACGGCUAGCCGGCCUGAGAGGGUUACCGGCGACAUGGGGACUGAGAGACGGCGCAGAAGGGUACGGGAGGCAGCAGUGGAGAAUAUGGCACAAUGGGCGGAAGCCUGAGGCAGCAGCGCCGCGUGCGGGAUGACGGCCUUCGAGUUGUAAACCGCUGUCGCCUGUGACGAAGCGUGAGUGACGGUAAUGGGUAAAGAAGCACCGGCUAACUACGUG